Molecule: ribosomal RNA, 253 nt
Filed under: uncultured bacterium
Lineage: Bacteria
Description: partial 16S ribosomal RNA
Rfam family: Bacterial small subunit ribosomal RNA
Source: RNAcentral
UACGUAGGGUGCAGGCGUUAAUCGGAAUUACUGGGCGUAAAGCGCACGCAGGUGGCUGAGUCAGUCGAUUGUGAAAGCCCUGGGCUUAACCUGGGAAUUGCAGUCGAUACUACUCGGCUCGAGUAUGGGAGAGGGCAGUGGAAUUCCCGGUGUAGCGGUGAAAUACGUAGAGAUUGGGAAGAACACCAGUGGCGAAGGCGGCUAUCUGGACGGUUUCUGACACUAAGACACGAAAGCGUGGGGAGCAAACAGG